UACGAAGGGGGCUAGCGUUGCUCGGAAUCACUGGGCGUAAAGGGCGCGUAGGCGGCCGUUCAAGUCGGGGGUGAAAGCCUGUGGCUCAACCACAGAAUGGCCCUCGAUACUGGAUGGCUCGAGACCGGAAGAGGUUGGUGGAACUGCGAGUGUAGAGGUGAAAUUCGUAGAUAUUCGCAAGAACACCAGUGGCGAAGGCGGCUACCUGGACCAGCACUGACACUGAGGCACGAAAGCGUGGGGAGCAAACAGG
Molecule: ribosomal RNA, 253 nt
Filed under: uncultured bacterium
Lineage: Bacteria
Description: partial 16S ribosomal RNA
Rfam family: Bacterial small subunit ribosomal RNA
Source: RNAcentral